Molecule: ribosomal RNA, 254 nt
Filed under: uncultured prokaryote
Description: partial 16S ribosomal RNA
Rfam family: Bacterial small subunit ribosomal RNA
Source: RNAcentral
ACGGGGGGAGCAAGCGUUGUUCGGAUUUACUGGGCGUAAAGGGCGCGUAGGCGGCCACCGCAAGUCACUUGUGAAAUCUCCGGGCUUAACCCGGAAAGGUCAACUGAUACUGCGGGGCUAGAGUGCAGAAGGGGCAACUGGAAUUCUCGGUGUAGCGGUGAAAUGCGUAGAUAUCAAGCGGAACACCAGUGGCGAAGGCGAGUCCCUGGACAACUCCUGACACUGAGGCACGAAAGCUAGGGGAGCAAACAGGA